RNAcentral lists this ribosomal RNA (459 nucleotides) under uncultured bacterium. RNAcentral's name for it is "partial 16S ribosomal RNA". It matches the Rfam family "Bacterial small subunit ribosomal RNA", at positions 338 to 795 of the family's 1533-position model. The record is from RNAcentral.
CCUACGGGCGGCAGCAGUGAGGAAUAUUGGUCAAUGGUCGGGAGCCUGAACCAGCCAAGCCGCGUGAGGGAUGAAGGUACAGAGUAUCGUAAACCUCUUUUGUCAGGGAACAAAGUCGGGGACGUGUCCCCGGAUGAGUGUACCUGAAGAAAAAGCAUCGGCUAACUCCGUGCCAGCAGCCGCGGUAAUACGGAGGAUGCGAGCGUUAUCCGGAUUUAUUGGGUUUAAAGGGUGCGCAGGCGGUCUGUUAAGUCAGCGGUCAAAGCCCGGGGCUCAACCCCGGCCCGCCGUUGAAACUGGCAGUCUCGAGUUGGAGAGAAGUAUGCGGAAUGCGCGGUGUAGCGGUGAAAUGCAUAGAUAUCGCGCAGAACUCCGAUUGCGAAGGCAGCAUGCCGGCUCCACACUGACGCUGAGGCACGAAAGCGUGGGUAUCGAACAGGAUUAGAUACCCGGGUAGUC